This 7793-nucleotide long non-coding RNA is filed under the name Musa acuminata (dwarf banana). RNAcentral describes it as "long non-coding RNA (MACU_LNC007438)". Lineage: Eukaryota; Viridiplantae; Streptophyta; Magnoliopsida; Zingiberales; Musaceae. The record is from RNAcentral.
CUUCUAUAAGUAGGAUUUCACCCAAGAAGUAUAAGAAGUAGAAAGCAUGUCAGUUUCGGGUGAGCAAGGGUGAUUCGCUUCUCAGACACCGAAGCAGCCUAUCGAAAAACAGAAAAGAAUAAGUUGUCAUGGAAAUGCCUUUUGAUCUCUAUUUUGACUCUAAUUAUGUAUUGAUUGUAUUGAUAAAACAGAGAACUUUUUCUAUAUGAUAAUAUAUGCUUAACCCAGCAACAUUCCUUUACGAGUAAUAGAUCCUUCCUUGUCUUUACAAGUAAUAGAUCCUUCCUUGUCUUUAUUAUUUCAAUCAAAAAGCUACAUCUGAAAGGAAAGGAAACCACGAGAGAAGGUAUAUAAUAAUUGUUGGAUAUUGUUUGAUAGUGAUAUAUUGUAUAUUAUCAUGAUCCAUCUUUCUUUCCUCCACGUAUCGAUGCGCAAAACACACAUGCUAUUUCCUUACUUCCCCCAAUCAAUGCACUAAACCAAUAAACUAAUAGAAUAUAACCCCAAUCAAUGCACUAAACCAAUAAACUAAUAGAAUAUAAUUAAGUAGAGGCACCCCCGCCCGAUGCAUGAACUAUGGUGGUCCGUCCUACUAUGAUGCACGAACGAACGACCGAACAAUGAACGCUAUGCACGAACAAUAGAUGCACGCACGAACGACCACCCGACCCGAUGCAUGUAGCGCUGUCGCCCUUAGUUUCUCCCUUUAGUAUGUGUAUGGUGUUUUCGUUUCUGCCUCGGAUAGACAUCCAGUGCGGACUCGUUUAGCCUAGCCGAUCAAUCACUUGUGAAAGAUAGAUGGAGCUCCUCUUUGCCUUGCCUUGGAGUAGGAUGGAAAAGCGGAGAAGGUAAAGCCAAAUAAUCAUUUACAUUUGAUAGAGAGGUACCUAUUGCUUUUGGUAAAGGGGAAGCUCAAUAAUAAAGUAUAGAACAUUGCCUUAUUAUUCCUAGAUGUUGGUCCCUAGGGCUAUAGUAAGUCAAUACCAAAAUAACGGUUGGGACAAUAAAAGAGUUAUGAUUUUCAAGAAAGUAAGGGAGGAGCCAAAAACGACUAUACAUUAUUGACCCCAAAGAAAGAGACUUCUUAUUGACCGGGGCACCCUAACACAUUACUAUAGUGAGUUUGAGGCACCGUUAUGAAGUUCUUUUUGACUGCCCGCAACUGGUAAUGAAUUACUACUAUAUACAUUCUUUCCCGAUAAUGAAUUACUACUAUAUACAUUCUUUCCCGAAUCUCAAUAGAGAGAAAGAAGAGGGUUCGCAGUGUACUCAUCUAAUGAGAUGCAUAGAAGAUCAAUGUAGGGGGGAGAGGGCAUAGAAUUUCCAUAGAGGGUUCGCAGUGUACUCAUCUAAUGAGAUGCAUAGAAUCCAAUUAAGGGACACAGCUAUCUACCAUUACGUGGGGCCAUUCUUUUCAAUACAGAAUUAUUGACUAACCUGCUCCGUUAAGUACAUGGAGGCGGGAAAGGCUUCAGUAAGAUGUGUUAGGUUCCAUUCCAACUAUGAGCUUAUAUCUGUGGCAUCCAAUAGAAAGAAAAGAAAACGACCCAUAUACACAUAACCUAUGAGCUUCUUGAAUAACGCUCCCUUAUCAAUGUGAAAGGCUGUGCUUGUGAUUCAGUAUAGGAGAGGUGUUUGCUACCGAUAUGUGAGUAAAGGCUUACUGUGCCGAGAUGCUAUUUCAGAUAGAAUAUUGGGUUGGGCUGCCCCUAUUCCGAGAGUCACAUAUUGGGUUCAGUUGCCUAUAGGAUAUCUUGUAGUUGAGUAAGCUCCCUAUUGCCCGUAGUCUGCUUUAGGAAGUAGGGCAGCGAGCAACAGAACAGGUCAAUGUUGGUUUCUAAGCUCAAAUGCAUUGAAAUAGAACAAGAAACUACAUAUUAGCUGAAGACUACUAAACGACAGGAAUAGCCUGCUUAACGGAAUAGCCUGCUUAACGGACCUGACUGAACUACUUGAUGAUUUCUACCUUUAGGCUCUUCUCUUAUUCAACGUUUCUACCUUUCUUUAGGAUGAGGAUUUUCUCUUCUCUUAUUCAAUGUUUAUACCUUUCUUUAGGAUUAGGAUCUUCUCUUCUCUUAUUUCUACGUCUGAAGCUAAGCAGUAGUUGUCCGUUGCAAGUCUAGAUCGCAUUCAAGAAAAGGCUUCCCAUGGCAAAAGAAAGGGUCUGAUUUGGAGAAGCUGAUAAAAGGGACGAAGUAAGCGCAUAUAUGGGGAUGCCCUAAAAUGGGUAUAGUUGUCUUUCUAUGUAUAAUUCUUUCUAUGUGCGAUAGGUGCAAAGAACCGAGACUGGAAAGGAUAGGGCAUCUCAUACAAUCCGAGACCUGACUCAAACACCGACCCCCUUUACUCUACCUUAAAGCUCUAACCACUUUUAUUCGAACAAAUGUAGAACCAGAAUGGAUGGUUUUGUGCUUAUUACCAGUUCUUCCUCCCGAGUAGAGUUUAGACCAAUCAUGGUUAUGGGUAGGUCCAAAAAGCAGUUUGGAUAUUAAUGGGGACUCUAUAGACGAGGUAUCUAUAAGAAUCAAACUAUUACCGAUCUAUUAGCAACAAGUAGAUCUACGCCAGGGGAAUUAGUAAUGUGUCAGGAGAAAUUGGUACAAGAGGCCGUGGAUACACUUCUUGAUAAUGGGAUCCGCGGACAACCAAUAAGGCAUGGUAAAGUGAAACAACCAAUAAGGCAUGGUCAUAAUCAAAGUAACAAGUCAUAUUCUUUCUUUUUAGAUGUAAUUGAAGGCCAAGAGGGAAGGAAGAUUUAGUUAGACUCUCUCUGCUUGGUAAACGUGUCGAUUAUUCGGGACGUUCCGUCAUUGUCGUGGGUCCUUCGCUUUCAUUACAUCAGUGUGGAUUACCUCGAUUAAUAGCAAUAGAGCUUUUCUUUUCCAAACAUUUGUCAUUCGUGGUCUAAUCAGACAACAUGUUGGUUGCUUCUAACAUAGGAAUUGCUUCAAGUAUCAAAUUCGGGAAAAAGAACCCAAUGUAUGGGAAAUACUUCUGGAAGUUAUGCGGGGGCAUCCUUGAUUAUAGAAUAGAGCACCCACCCAGCAAAGAUUAGGCAUACAGACGGAUCUAAUCUACGUGGCCUAUUUUUGUAGAGGGACGCGCUACUUGUUUACACUACCUAUUUAUUAGUAUGUUCGAUUGGUUUACACCAUCCAUAUCUAAGUAUGUAAGGGCGGGCCGGGUCAUAUAUAUAGUUAUGAUAGGGCAUACUUUGAUGGGGAUCAAAUGGCUGUUCAUGUACCUUUAUCUUUGGAAGCUAAAGUGACGGCUCGUUUGUUUACUUAUGUUUUCUCAUAUGAAUCUCUUGUCUCCAGCUAUUGGGGAUCCUAUUUCCGUACCAACUCAAGAUAUGCUUAUCGGACUCUAUUUAUUAACGAUACGAUCGGGAAUGGUCGAGGUAUUUGUGCAAAUAGCUGCCAUCCAUAUAGAGAUAGUUGCGGAAACUACCAAAAUCAAUAAGUUUACAAUAACGGAGGUAUACGAAAAAGAAAGAACCCUACUUCUAUAGUUCCUAUGAUGCACUUGGAGCUUAUCAACAGAAACGAAUUAGUUUAGAUAGGUCCUUUCUGAUGAUGGAGACUAGAUCAACGUGUCAUUGGCUCAAGAGAAGUUCCCAUCGAAGUUCAAUAUGAAUAUUGUGGUACCUAUAAUGAGAUUUAUGGGCACUAUUAGUAGUAAGUGUGAAUAAGGCAAUCAAGUAAGUAUAAAUAAAUAGAUUGUAAAUUGGUCAUAUUUCUUUUGAUCGAGAAAUAGAGGAAGCAAUACUGGGGUUUUGUCGAGCCUACUCAUAAGCUAUCUAAACUAGGAAAUCUUAUUAGGCGAUGUUAAGGUUAAUAGUUCAGAAUGGCAUAUACAUGACAUAUCUUGGCUUGGAUAAAGUAAAGAGGGUUUCCAACAAGCAAGCUGCAUCUAUGGAAUUAGAGGAAUUGAUGAUCUUUUGACAAUCCCUUAGAAAAGAUGCUUAGUACAAGACGCUGAACAACAAAGUGGGAUUUAGGAUAAACACCAUCAUUAUGUACCCGCGGUAUCAAAAUGACGUAAAUCCAUUGAGAUAUGGUAUGCUACAAGUGUUGAUUUGAGACAAGAAGAGAAUCCGGACUAUUACAUAUACUGCUAAUAGAGUGGUUUAUAUCAUGUCCUUUUCAGGAGCUAGAGGAAAUGCAUCUCAGAUACGAAAAUCAAAGGUAUUCAAGGAUUGAUGUCGGAUCCCCCAAAGACACAUUAUUGAUUGAUUUACCCAUGCAAAGCUAUUGUAGUCAAGCACUUUCUUUUCAUUACUUGAUAGAGGAAUAAGAAUCAUUAUGGAAUUGCCUGUUAUGGAGCCCGCAAAGGAGUUGUAGAUACUGCUGUACGAACAUCAGAUGCUUGCUUUUUUGAUACCUAACAAGUAUACAAGUUUCAGUAGUGAAACAUCUAAUUGUACGUAGAACUGAUUGUGGCACUAUACGAGGUAUUUCCGUGAGUCUUCAAAAUGGGGGAUGACAGAAAACAUUUGUGUCCAAACACUAAGGGGUCGUGUAUUAGCAGACGAUAUCAUUCAUUUAGAUAGCUAGAGGUCUAUGAUGCCUUGCCACUCGAUAUCAAGAUAUGGGGAUUGAACUUGCCACUAGUUUAUAUGGGUCUAUGAUGCCUUGCUACUCGAUAUUCAUUUAUGGGGAUGGGAUUGAACUUGUAAAUUGCCUUUCAAGCACAACUAUUGGGAUUGAACUUGUAAAUCGAUUCAUUACCUUUCGAUCACAACUAAUACAUAUAUGAUAACACCUAUAUUAGAACCGUGACUUGUACAUAUAUGAUAACACCUAUAUUAGAACCUUGACCACCCCCUUGACUUGUACAUAUAUAUAUAUAUGAGAACACCCUUGAUACAUAUAUGAGAACACCCUUUACUUGCAGGAGUACAUCUUGGAUCUGCCAAUUAUGUUAUGGUCGGAGUCCUACUCAUGGCGACCAGGGCUUCAACCCGAGCAUACAAGAAUGAAAGAAAGGCUUAAAUGUCGAGCAUAGGGUUUUGAAGGCAGUAGCUUCAGAAUUGAAGUAAUAGGUCUAAGGCGGAUCCCCCCCAGCACAGUUUCCGGCUAAGAGUCAAGAGUGGCAGGCCCAAACUAAUAAGCAAGAAUACAACGUAAGUUUUCAAGUAAGCAGUGGAACAUCAAUUCUGUAUUGAUUCUUAUAACAUGCACCGCUACGCUACUCCAGCAACUGAGUGAACUGUCAGCCAGUUGUAGUAGUCUCCUUAUUCUGAGUUUCGAUUUGGAUUCUAAUAGCCCUACCUCGAUCCUGGAUCUUAUGUUUCGUUGUUCAAUACUGAGUUAAUUAGUUGUAAUCUGAUAGUAGUGAUUGCAUUCCACAUUCCUGGUUCUAAUAAGUAGCGCUAAGCUUGAGCGUUGAGUUGAAUUCCCGAGUGACCUGUUCGAUUCUUAUGCGGUUGCCCGGUUUUUCAUUCUCCAAAUAGUAGUUGAUAGCCAGGAAAGCCAUACUUCAAGUAAGGACACUGGGGGUCAAAAUCAUAAUCGAAAGUAAGCCUUACACUAGCAAGCAAAACUCUAAGCAUGAGUUGGUAGCUAGGAGCCAGGAGCGGUGGACUCACUUCUCGGGGAGCGAGGACAGACUCAAUGAAAAGCAGUAUAGUGGUAGGUUUGAGACAAGAGCCAAACACUUAGUUACAGGAAAAGGAGACUGAGAGACAGUUGCCUGGUGACUCAAACUAGGGAAUGGAUGCCCGGAGCCCAAGAGUUCAAAACAGGAGAGGCAUACUUCAACUGGAGAUAGGGGCAGUAAAAGAGUCAAACUAACAACUCCACUAAUAAGUCAAAGAAGCAAACUACUACUUGUGAGAAUCCAACAGGGGAUAAAAGAUACCGGGCCAAGGAGACCCGUCUAAGAAAACUCAUACUAAUACAAUACCUGGAAAGCAAGAGCCCUCGGACGCAGAAUCAGAACUAGACCCGACCCAGUAGUAAAAGACCAAGCCUUACACCUUACCAUAAGGAACAAGCCCCGCGAAAUAGCUUCCAAGCGGAUUCCGCGAGCCCUACUCUUUGAUUGAAUCCUUAUUGCCUUCCCGAAGGUCUGGUCUCUUCCCGAGUUGUAUGGACACCCUUAUGAGAUAGUAAGAGCAGCUAUUGUGCCCGCCUACCGAGUUGUGAGAUAAGGUCUUGUCGGGUACUAGCCCAUUCUGGUUAACAGUAGUCCGAGCCUUAGAGAUGGUAUACGAGCUAGGUCAUUAUCAGACUUGGAGUACAAAUAUGAUGUCUGGAUCUGAUCUAGGUAAUUCAAAGACUUAUUUAGUAGUUUGCCUCCUCGCCCACUUUCAAACCGCCGUUAGCUACAGCCUUAUUGUCUUCCUCGCUGUCCAAAACAAGUAACAAAUAGCCUAGCCGCCACUACUAUAGAAGGCUUCACCAGAACUCCUGAUAAGACCAAACCUAAUGGAUAUGGAACCCUAAUAGAUAUGGCCCCCGACAACUAGGACUUGGACUCGUAUCGUCAGAAUCCAGCUCUAAAGUAAGGAAUUACAGAAAGGAAAAGGAGAACUUAACGAUGAAACACUGCUCUAAAGAAUCUAGUUUUAGCUAACCCUCCCUUUGAAGUAACUAAUUGAACUUACCCAUAUCCUUACUGCCCUAUAGCCUGAGACUAGUCUUAUACUGUGCUACAUCGUACCUGUCUGUAUUCUCUAUUCUUUUAUUUAGUCUAGUGGUUAGUUGUUUGAUUCCCUCCCUUUGAAGUUGCACCAGCGAAUGUGCGUGUAUUGGAAAAGAGAAGAUGCCAUAGAAAGAAAUUGUCUAAGUAAUAGGAGUCAUUAUAAGUUGUCAUUUCGCGAGUCAAGGGAGCAAAUCGGAGCAUACAAGACACCAGCCCAAGGAUCAGAGCAAUGCAAGACAGAGCGAUACCAAUAAAAUAAUAGGAGAUACCAUAGGAAUAGAAUAGGGUAGAGGUAAUAGGAAGUUAGGAGCCGACUAUCGACUAGAAUAAGAUAGGAGCUAACUAGAAUAAGGUGGGAGCCCCGACAAGUAACGGGAAGGCCGGUCGAACACAUGGCCUUUUCUCAAAUUAGAGAAUGACGUAACGCAUGGGAAAUAAAGAAGAAGUUGUAAGCGUAUCAGAUGGAAAUCAAUAGAAGUUGUGUCGAUGUUGCAAGCCCUAUGGCCUCCGGUCGACAAGAAUAGGUGGGCACCAUUAGUGAUAGAGAAUGACUUUAGUGGUGGAGCACCUUGAAUCAUCAUACCGAAAUCGUAUUUCCUUUGAUCUCAUCUAUAAACCAAUUCGGUUCCUUAGCCCAGUCCUGGGUGAGACAGCACUCUAAAUCAAUUACUUUCGCUCGGAUUACUUGUUGUACAGCUAACCUAACCUAACAUAUAGCCAACCUAACCUAACAUAUGAUGCUAUGACCCCUGGAGACUUAGUUAAUGACCAAUCAAAGAACCUACCUUUGAAGUCAAUUGUAGCUAACCCCACCUUUGAAGUUGACCCUCGAUCCAAGCAAUGCAAUAUAGUAGGUUAGUGUUUCGUGCCGUAUUCUUACGGGGUUGAUCUGAUCCCCUGCCCACAGAGCUAAUUCCUCUAGUAAGUAGUAGCACAAAUUCUCUAUGUCAAGCUGGCUUCCGUAUCCAUUGGUUCAUUCAUUCCCUGGGGAAAUAUUCUUUGACUUACUCAGUUGCUUGCCCGAGUUCCAUUAUUUGAGUUAGUUGCAGGGAUGCGAUACAGCGUACCCUCUGUUCGAAAGUCAAUAAGCAAUUUCAGAAUUCUAUAAAUGGCAGGCCCAGAGACAUGAUAGUCAGAAUGCAAGC